AGGACGAACGCUGGCGGCGUGCUUAACACAUGCAAGUCGAGCGGAAAGGCCCUUCGGGGUACUCGAGCGGCGAACGGGUGAGUAACACGUGAGUAACCUGCCCUGGACUUUGGGAUAACCCUCGGAAACGGGGGCUAAUACCGAAUAUUACUUGGCCUCGCAUGGGGUUUGGUGGAAAGUUUUUCGGUCUGGGAUGGACUCGCGGCCUAUCAGCUUGUUGGUGGGGUAAUGGCCUACCAAGGCGACGACGGGUAGCCGGCCUGAGAGGGCGACCGGCCACACUGGGACUGAGACACGGCCCAGACUCCUACGGGAGGCAGCAGUGGGGAAUAUUGCACAAUGGGCGAAAGCCUGAUGCAGCGACGCCGCGUGAGGGAUGACGGCCUUCGGGUUGUAAACCUCUUUCAGCAGGGACGAAGCGAAAGUGACGGUACCUGCAGAAGAAGCACCGGCCAACUACGUGCCAGCAGCCGC
RNAcentral lists this ribosomal RNA (474 nucleotides) under uncultured bacterium. RNAcentral's name for it is "SSU rRNA". It matches the Rfam family "Bacterial small subunit ribosomal RNA", at positions 26 to 518 of the family's 1533-position model. The record is from RNAcentral.